GCCCAGACUCCUACGGGAGGCAGCAGUGGGGAAUAUUGCACAAUGGGGGAAACCCUGAUGCAGCGACGCCGCGUGAGCGAUGAAGUAUUUCGGUAUGUAAAGCUCUAUCAGCAGGGAAGAAAAUGACGGUACCUGACUAAGAAGCCCCGGCUAACUACGUGCCAGCAGCCGCGGUAAUACGUAGGGGGCAAGCGUUAUCCGGAUUUACUGGGUGUAAAGGGAGCGUAGACGGCUGUGCAAGCCAGAUGUGAAAGCCCGGGGCUCAACCCCGGGACUGCAUUUGGAACUGUGUGGCUGGAGUGUCGGAGAGGCAGGCGGAAUUCCUAGUGUAGCGGUGAAAUGCGUAGAUAUUAGGAGGAACACCAGUGGCGAAGGCGGCCUGCUGGACGAUGACUGACGUUGAGGCUCGAAAGCGUGGGGAGCAAACAGGAUUAGAUACCCUUGUAG
RNAcentral lists this ribosomal RNA (447 nucleotides) under uncultured bacterium. RNAcentral's name for it is "bacterial SSU rRNA". It matches the Rfam family "Bacterial small subunit ribosomal RNA", at positions 329 to 793 of the family's 1533-position model. The record is from RNAcentral.